AAGCAUGAACUUUUAAAAUGU
This 21-nucleotide small nuclear RNA is filed under the name Arabidopsis thaliana (thale cress). Its description in RNAcentral is "snRNA_02131". The record is from RNAcentral. Lineage: Eukaryota; Viridiplantae; Streptophyta; Magnoliopsida; Brassicales; Brassicaceae.